Molecule: ribosomal RNA, 807 nt
Filed under: uncultured Pelagibacteraceae bacterium
Lineage: Bacteria; Pseudomonadati; Pseudomonadota; Alphaproteobacteria; Candidatus Pelagibacterales; Candidatus Pelagibacteraceae
Description: bacterial SSU rRNA
Rfam family: Bacterial small subunit ribosomal RNA
Source: RNAcentral
CGCUGGCGGCACGCCUAACACAUGCAAGUCGAACGAAGUAGCAAUACUUAGUGGCAGACGGGUGAGUAACAUGUAGGUAUCUGCCCUUUGGCCUGGAAUAACACGAGGAAACUUGUGCUAAUACCGGAUAAGUCUUCACGGAGAAAGCUUUAUGCACCAUUGGAUGAGCCUGCACUUGAUUAGUUUGUUGGUGGGGUAAUGGCCUACCAAGACUUUGAUCAAUAGCUGAUUUGAGAGGAUGAUCAGCCACAUUGGGACUGAGACACGGCCCAAACUCCUACGGGAGGCAGCAGUGGGGAAUCUUGCACAAUGGAGGAAACUCUGAUGCAGCGAUGCCGCGUGAGUGAAGAAGGCCCUUGGGUUGUAAAGCUCUUUCGUCGGGGAAGAAAAUGACUGUACCCGAAUAAGAAGGUCCGGCUAACUUCGUGCCAGCAGCCGCGGUAAUACGAAGGGACCUAGCGUAGUUCGGAAUUACUGGGCUUAAAGAGUUCGUAGGUGGUUGAAAAAGUUGGUGGUGAAAUCCCAGAGCUUAACUCUGGAACUGCCAUCAAAACUUUUCAGCUAGAGUUUGAUAGAGGAAAGCAGAAUUUCUAGUGUAGAGGUGAAAUUCGUAGAUAUUAGAAAGAAUACCAAUUGCGAAGGCAGCUUUCUGGAUCAUUACUGACACUGAGGAACGAAAGCAUGGGUAGCGAAGAGGAUUAGAUACCCUCGUAGUCCAUGCCGUAAACGAUGUGUGUUAGACGUUGGAAAUUUAUUUUCAGUGUCGCAGCGAAAGCGAUAAACACACCGCCUGGGGAGUACGACCGC